RNAcentral lists this ribosomal RNA (535 nucleotides) under uncultured bacterium. Its description in RNAcentral is "partial 16S ribosomal RNA". It matches the Rfam family "Bacterial small subunit ribosomal RNA", at positions 355 to 902 of the family's 1533-position model. The record is from RNAcentral.
UGGGGAAUAUUGCGCAAUGGGGGGAACCCUGACGCAGCAACGCCGCGUGAAGGAUGAAGGCUUUCGGGUUGUAAACUUCUUUGAUGAGGGACGAAAGAAAUGACGGUACCUCAAAAACAAGCCACGGCUAACUACGUGCCAGCAGCCGCGGUAAUACGUAGGUGGCGAGCGUUGUCCGGAAUUACUGGGUGUAAAGGGCGUGUAGGCGGGGAUGCAAGUCAGAUGUGAAAUGCCGGGGCUUAACUCCGGAGCUGCAUCUGAAACUGUGUUUCUUGAGUGUCGGAGAGGAAAGCGGAAUUCCCAGUGUAGCGGUGAAAUGCGUAGAUAUUGGGAGGAACACCAGUGGCGAAGGCGGCUUUCUGGACGAUAACUGACGCUGAGGCGCGAAAGCGUGGGGAGCAAACAGGAUUAGAUACCCUGGUAGUCCACGCUGUAAACGAUGGAUACUAGGUGUAGGAGGUAUCGACCCCUUCUGUGCCGGAGUUAACACAAUAAGUAUCCCACCUGGGGGAGUACGGCCGCAAGGUUGAAACUU